AUAUCUUAUAUGUAGUCUAUAUAUACUAAAUAUUGAAGCGUAUUUACAGUUGAUUGUGGCUGCAGUUGUUCAUAAAAAAGAGACUGAAAACAAAAAUAGUAUUAAAUCACAUUUCAAAGGAAAAACAUGAUUGUUUCUUUUGUAAAUCAUAAUUUAUGCUUGUAUUAAGUGGACAUAAUCUUAAAAUGUAGAUAUCCAUACAGAAAUCAAUCAAU
Drosophila navojoa is the source of this 215-nucleotide long non-coding RNA. Lineage: Eukaryota; Metazoa; Arthropoda; Insecta; Diptera; Drosophilidae. The record is from RefSeq and is a predicted model, not a curated record.